RNAcentral lists this small RNA (1522 nucleotides) under Pongo abelii (Sumatran orangutan). Its description in RNAcentral is "retained intron". Lineage: Eukaryota; Metazoa; Chordata; Mammalia; Primates; Hominidae. The record is from RNAcentral.
GGUUCAGCUCCCCGAAAGGCCCGCGAUGCCUCUACACAAGUAUCCCGUGUGGCUCUGGAAGCGGUUGCAGCUACGGGAGGGCAUCUGUUCCCGCCUGCCCGGCCACUACCUGCGCUCCCUGGAGGAGGAGCGGACGCCCACUCCCGUGCACUACAGGCCUCACGGGGCCAAGUUCAAGAUCAACCCCAAGAACGGGCAGCGGGAGCGUGUGGAGGACGUGCCCAUCCCCAUCUACUUUCCCCCCGAGUCCCAGCGGGGGUUGUGGGGCGGCGAGGGCUGGAUCCGGGGCCAAAUAUAUGCCAACAACGACAAGCUCUCCAAGAGGCUGAAGAAGGUGUGGAAGCCACAGCUGUUUGAGCGAGAGCUCUACAGUGAGAUCCUAGACAAGAAGUUCACAGUGACUGUGACCAUGCGGACCCUGGACCUCAUCGAUGAGGCUUACGGGCUCGACUUUUACAUCCUCAAGGCAAGCAGGGUGGGGCGAGUCAGUGCACAGCAGGGUCCGGGAUGGGCCAGUCAGACUCAAGGGAGCCCCAGGUCAGCAUCACACCGGGGCACGCUGGCAUCUGCACAGGAGGGUCACUGGGAAAGUGUGAGUGGGGCCAUGCCCCUUUCUGGCCAGCGCCAGUGGCAUUUCCUGCCUGCACGAGAGGCUGUCGCUCUGUGGGUGGCUGACUUGCCCAUGGGGCCUGAGCAAGCAUAGCCACCCCUUUCCCUGCUCUUGGACUUGCUUCUGUCCUGAUCCCACCCCCCGUGCUGGGGUGCUGACGUGGCCCCACCUGGGCCUUCUCUGUCCUGUCCUGGGACCACCAGCGGCUAGAGAGGAGCCAGGUGGGUUGGCUGGAAGGGUAGGCGGGGCCCUGCCACCAGCACCUGGCCCCAUGUGAGCCUUCUGCCAGACCCCGAAGGAGGACCUGUGCUCCAAGUUUGGGAUGGACCUGAAGCGAGGAAUGCUGCUGCGGCUUGCCCGGCAGGACCCCCAGCUGCACCCCGAGGACCCUGAGCGGCGGGCAGCCAUCUACGACAAGUACAAGGAAUUUGCCAUCCCAGAGGAGGAGGCAGAGUGGGUGGGCCUCACGCUGGAGGAGGCCAUUGAGAAGCAGAGACUCCUGGAGGAGAAGGACCCUGUACCUCUGUUCAAGAUCUAUGUGGCGGAGCUGAUCCAGCAGCUGCAGCAGCAGGCACUGUCAGAGCCGGCGGUGGUGCAGAAGAGAGCCAGUGGCCAGUGACCACACAGCUCCUCCAUGCCUGACCAACAGGCCCAGCCUUCCCUGCCAGGCCCUUUGCACUGAGGACACAGAUCCCGGGGAGCUGUGAGGGCUACCGGUGGGCAGUGGGUGGAUCCUGGUUUCGUGUGCUGCCGAUGCACCUUCCAGCCCGGGGCCAGCUUGGCAGGGAUCCCCAGGAGGCCUGGGCCGCCCAGAGGCUCCUCUCAGGCUGGGCCCCCACGUUUGUAGCAGUGUUCCUUGUGCCUGUGGGGCCGGGAGUGAGUAAAGUCUGGGCCAGGCUGUGUGUGUGUGUG